Long non-coding RNA from Aricia agestis (brown argus), 192 nucleotides. RefSeq lists it as uncharacterized. The record is from RefSeq and is a predicted model, not a curated record. NCBI's taxonomy places the organism in Eukaryota, Metazoa, Arthropoda, Insecta, Lepidoptera, Lycaenidae. The transcript is spliced from 3 exons.
CGUGGAAACUCAAUAAAUUUUCCUUCCAAGGGGGUGAGGCAUGGAAUGUUCUAGAAGCUGGGUACCGGGGCCGAUAUAAAUAUGGGUCGGCCGCCAUAAUACGACACUCGCUCUCCAACGUUGCCCAGCUUCGGAACUACUGUGUGCUUGCUACCUGGAACAAGACUGAAAAAAAUUCAAAAGUGUUGUUUU